RNAcentral lists this long non-coding RNA (329 nucleotides) under Vigna radiata. RNAcentral's name for it is "long non-coding RNA (VRAD_LNC011708)". Lineage: Eukaryota; Viridiplantae; Streptophyta; Magnoliopsida; Fabales; Fabaceae. The record is from RNAcentral.
UAAUUGAUUUGUAAGUCUUUGGUGAUUUCUACAGAGCAAACAAUGGUUGUAUCAAUGAACUAUAGUGAUUAAUAAUUGCAGAAAACAAGAGGGUAAAUUUUUGUUUUUGUUUCUCACCAUUCAUUCCUCUCAUAUGUAUAUAUAUAGAUAUUCUAUCGUGGAGCAGUUGGCAGAGCUUGGGGCCACUGUACACACUUGUUCUCGGAACCAAGCUGAACUCAAUGAAUCCUUGAACGAAUGGACCACAAAAGGAUACAGAGUAACCGGUUCGGUCUGUGACAUCACCUCUCGUGUUAACAGAGAAGAGCUGAUAGCAACUGUCUCUUCUC